Molecule: ribosomal RNA, 252 nt
Filed under: uncultured bacterium
Lineage: Bacteria
Description: partial 16S ribosomal RNA
Rfam family: Bacterial small subunit ribosomal RNA
Source: RNAcentral
UACGUAGGUCCCGAGCGUUGUCCGGAUUUAUUGGGCGUAAAGCGAGCGCAGGUGGUUUAUUAAGUCUGGUGUAAAAGGCAGUGGCUCAACCAUUGUAUGCAUUGGAAACUGGUAGACUUGAGUGCAGGAGAGGAGAGUGGAAUUCCAUGUGUAGCGGUGAAAUGCGUAGAUAUAUGGAGGAACACCGGUGGCGAAAGCGGCUUCCUGGUCUGCAACUGACACUGAGGCGCGAAAGCGUGGGGAGCAAACAGG